This is a long non-coding RNA of Lathyrus oleraceus (garden pea), 665 nucleotides long. RefSeq lists it as uncharacterized. The record is from RefSeq and is a predicted model, not a curated record. NCBI's taxonomy places the organism in Eukaryota, Viridiplantae, Streptophyta, Magnoliopsida, Fabales, Fabaceae. The transcript is spliced from 2 exons.
CAUGGCAAGCCAUAUGUAAAACAUUCAUAUUUCUAGAAUAAACAAUAAUGCAAGUGACUUUAGAAAACAUAGUGUUCAAUGUGUCUUUGAUGGCUGUUACACGAGACUCCCAACUUCUAAAGGCACAUUGCACACAUGUAUUGACACAAUGUUUCUUCAAUGCUGUGAUGUCACCAUUCUAGUCAACGAAUCGCCAACCGAGUCGAAAUAGCUGACUCGUCUUCAAACUCAGUAGCUUCUUUCCUUGAAAUUUCUCAUUUUAUUCCUCCUUCUUCUAUCUCUACCUAUAAAUACUAACACCAUUUUUUCUCCUAACUUCAAAUUCAAACACCCUUGAUUUAUUCAACUUUUUCAUCAAUUCCUAGCUUUUUUUUCCCAAAAAAAAUAAUGAAUAUUUUCAACUUUCCCAUUCUGAGUAUUUUGUUCAUGGCAAUUUCUCAUAUGGCUCAUGCUCAGAAUUUGGAUCUUUCUCCAGCAACUGCUCCUACCAGUGAUGGCACUAAUCUAGAUCAAGGAAUUGCUUAUUUUCUUAUGGUGAUAGCGUUGGUGAUUACAUACAUGCUCCAUUGAUUUUUUCUUCUUUUUCUUUUAAUUUUUGCCGAAGGAAAUUCCAUAAAUGUUAUGUAUAUGUAAUUAUUAUUAGUGAAAUUUAGUAUUAAUAUUCA